UGGAGAGUUUGAUCCUGGCUCAGGAUGAACGCUGGCGGCGUGCCUAAUACAUGCAAGUCGAGCGGCAGCGGGCUCACUGGCUUCUUCUUUUCUGCGGAGACAGGAAUAGCGAUUUCGAAGAAAUCGCGUUCUCAGUACCGAAGGAGGAAUGCUUCCGGGCUUCACCAAUACUUAUAAGGUGAAAUUCAGAAGCAGACAAAGGAGAAGGUUGUGAGCGCCGGCGAGCGGCGGACGGCUGAGUAACGCGUGGGAACGUGCCCCAAAGUGAGGGAUAAGCACCGGAAACGGUGUCUAAUACCGCAUAUGAUCUUCGGAUUAAAGCUUUAUGCGCUUUGGGAGCGGCCCGCGUCCGAUUAGCUAGUUGGUGAGGUAAAGGCUUACCAAGGCUACGAUCGGUAGCUGGUCUGAGAGGAUGAUCAGCCAGACUGGGACUGAGACACGGCCCAGACUCCUACGGGAGGCAGCAGUAAGGAAUCUUCCACAAUGGGGGCAACCCUGAUGGAGCAACGCCGCGUGCAGGACGAAGGCCUUCGGGUCGUAAACUGCUUUUAUGAGUGAAGAAUAUGACGGUAACUCAUGAAUAAGGGUCGGCUAACUACGUGCCAGCAGCCGCGGUCAUACGUAGGACCCAAGCGUUAUCCGGAGUGACUGGGCGUAAAGAGUUGCGUAGGUGGUCAGUAAAGCGAAUGGUGAAAUCUGAGGGCUCAACCUUACAGACUAUCAUUCGAACUCACUGACUCGAGAACAGCAGAGGUAACUGGAAUUUCUGAAGUAGGGGUAAUAUCCGUAGAUAUCAGAAGGAACACCAAUGGCGUAGGCAGGUUACUGGGCUGUUUCUGACACUGAGGCACGAAAGCGUGGGGAGCGAACCGGAUUAGAUACCCGGGUAGUCCACGCCGUAAACGAUGGAUACUAGCUGUGGGGGGUAUCGACCCCCUCCGUAGCGAAGCUAACGCGUUAAGUAUCCCGCCUGGGAAGUACGGCCGCAAGGCUAAAACUCAAAGGAAUAGACGGGGACCCACACAAGCAGUGGAUCAUG
RNAcentral lists this ribosomal RNA (1039 nucleotides) under Candidatus Saccharimonadota bacterium. RNAcentral's name for it is "bacterial SSU rRNA". It matches the Rfam family "Bacterial small subunit ribosomal RNA", at positions 1 to 941 of the family's 1533-position model. Lineage: Bacteria; Candidatus Saccharimonadota. The record is from RNAcentral.